GAAUGUGAGGGCAAUCUGGCUGCGACAUCUGUCACCUCAGUGAUCACCAGGGUUGAUUCGGCUGAUCUGGCUGUCUAGGCGGGUGUCCCCUUCCUCCCUCACCGCUCCAUGUGUCCCUCCUGAAGCUGCACGCUCAGUUGAAGAGGACGGCCUUCCCCGAAUAGAGACGGACCAGUCUUCGAUUGAGGGUAUACAAGUAGCUCUGCUCCCCUACUAGAACCUCCUAACAAGCCCUCAAGGGCAACACUAACAACACCAGCAAGGGCAACAAAAUGGGAAAACCAGGCUCAGGAUUUUAAGUGCAUGCACCU
This 311-nucleotide small nuclear RNA is filed under the name Erinaceus europaeus (western European hedgehog). RNAcentral describes it as "7SK RNA (ENSEEUG00000019911.1)". It matches the Rfam family "7SK RNA". Rfam says of the family: 7SK was discovered as an abundant small nuclear RNA in the mid-70s but a possible function has only recently been suggested. Two independent studies have found that 7SK RNA binds the CDK9/cyclin T complex (known as elongation factor P-TEFb). P-TEFb activates transcription by phosphorylating the C-terminal domain of RNA polymerase II. The record is from RNAcentral. Lineage: Eukaryota; Metazoa; Chordata; Mammalia; Eulipotyphla; Erinaceidae.